AAGCAUUAAUUUGUUUUUAUUAUUUAUUUUUUAUUUUAGCUAAAAUUUUUUUUUUGUUUAUUAUUUUUUUAAAAUAAAAUUAUUUUUUUAUAGUUUAUUUUACUGUUAAGGAAUUUUUUUUUUUUAAUUAAAAGAAGAUUUUUAUUUUGUACCUUUUGUAUCAGGGUUAAUUAAAUUAUUUAAUUUAUUUUAUUUUCUCGAAAAUUUAUGAUUUAAAAAUUUUUGUUUUUUAAUGUUUUAUAAUUAUAUAAAAAAAGUUUUUGGAUUUGAAAUGAAAUUAGUUUAAAUUAAUAUCUAGUUAACUAAGAAAUUAAUUUAAUUAAGGAUUUUUUUUUGAAAGUAAUUAUUUGUUUAUUUUUUAAAAAUUUCUAGUUUUAGUAAGGAUAAUCUUUCUAAAUUAUUAUAAUUUUUUAAAAAAUUAUUUUAUCUAGACUUAAAAUUUGUUUCGAUAUUAAUUUUGUAAAAAAUUAAAAUAAAUUUUUUAAUAUAUUUAUUUUUAUAUUAGUUUUUUAUUUAAAAUUUUUUAAAUUUUAAAAAUGAUUAAAUUAGUAAAAUUAAAAUUUUUUUUUAUGAAUUAGGCAAUUUAUUAUUUUUCACCUGUUUAACAAAAACAUGUCUUUUAGAUUUUAUUUAAAGUCAAUCCUGCUCAAUGAAUUUUAUUUAAAUAGCCGCGGUAUAUUAACUGUGCUAAGGUAGCAUAAUAAUUAGUCUUUUAAUUGAGGUCUGGAAUGAAUGGUAAAAUGAAAAAAUAACUUUAUUAAUUAAAUAUUUUUUGAAAUUUAUUUUUAAUUUAAAAAGAUUAAAUUUUUUAGAGUGACGAUAAGACCCUAUAGAUCUUAAAAAUUAAUUUAAUUUAUUUUUUUUUGUAGUUUUUGUUUAAAUUAAUAUUGUUUUUUUUGUUGGGGUGAUAAAUAAAAUUUUAAACUUUAUUUUUUUUUUACAAUUAUUUUUGGUUAAUUUGAUCUUUAAUUUUUGAUUAUAAUAUAAAGAUACCUUAGGGAUAACAGCGUAAUAAACUUGGAGAGUUCAAAUCUAUAAGUUUGUUUGCGACCUCGAUGUUGGAUUAAUUUAAAGUUGUGGGGUAGGUUUUACAAUUUUAGGUCUGUUCGACCUUUAAAAAAUUACAUGAUCUGAGUUCAGACCGGCGUGAGCCAGGUUGGUUUCUAUCUUCUUAAAAAUUUUAAUUAGUACGAAAGGACUUUUAAAAUGUAAAAUUUAUUUU
This 1222-nucleotide ribosomal RNA is filed under the name Youtuus erythrus. RNAcentral describes it as "16S ribosomal RNA". The stretch from base 1000 to 1158 matches the Rfam family "Archaeal large subunit ribosomal RNA", at positions 2542 to 2701 of the family's 2987-position model. The record is from RNAcentral. Lineage: Eukaryota; Metazoa; Arthropoda; Insecta; Hemiptera; Caliscelidae.